AAAGGGAGACCUAAUUCGGGUAUAAGACGAAAAAAAAGUAGUCCCUACCAAGAAUCAAUCCCAAAAGGUCGGAACGAGGUAUGAGGCUUUCAAACUAGGUUCUGGGUUCAUAAAAGACCUGAAUCAGGAACAAGGGCUAUUAGCUCAGGUGGUUAGAGCGCACCCCUGAUAAGGGUGAGGUCCCUGGUUCGAGUCCAGGAUGGCCCACCUGCACAGGUGGCAAAAACAAGAGAAGCGAGGAAUCAGCACCUUAUCUUGUAUACACAUAUAAGAGAGAAUGCUGGCUCUGAGUACAGAGUCCAGAGGAACCUUGAAAACUGCAUAGAGCUAGGUGAAAAAGCCAAAAAAGAAGACCGCAAG
RNAcentral lists this transfer RNA (360 nucleotides) under uncultured Microcystis sp. RNAcentral describes it as "partial 16S-23S ribosomal RNA intergenic spacer". The stretch from base 134 to 207 matches the Rfam family "tRNA". The record is from RNAcentral. Lineage: Bacteria; Bacillati; Cyanobacteriota; Cyanophyceae; Chroococcales; Microcystaceae.